GAUGAAGAACGUAGCGAAAUGCGAUAAGUAAUGUGAAUUGCAGAAUUCAGUGAAUCAUCGAAUCUUUGAACGCACAUUGCGCCCUCUGGUAUUCCGGGGGGCAUGCCUGUUUGAGCGUCAUUAUAACCACUCAAGCUCUCGCUUGGUAUUGGGGUUCGCGGUUUCGCGGCCCCUAAAAUCAGUGGCGGUGCCUGUCGGCUCUACGCGUAGUAAUACUCCUCGCGAUUGAGUCCGGUAGGUCUACUUGCCAGCAACCCCUAAUUUUUUUAAGGUUGACCUCGGAUCAGGUAGGGAUACCCGCUGAACUUAAGCAUAUCAAUAAGCGGAGGA
RNAcentral lists this unclassified non-coding RNA (330 nucleotides) under soil metagenome. Its description in RNAcentral is "partial contains 5.8S ribosomal RNA, internal transcribed spacer 2, and large subunit ribosomal RNA". The stretch from base 1 to 120 matches the Rfam family "5.8S ribosomal RNA", at positions 35 to 154 of the family's 154-position model. The record is from RNAcentral.